GGGGAUAAAUUAAUUAUUAAAUGAUUAAUAAAAGAAAUUUUUAUUAUAAUAUAUUUUAAUGGGGGUUAAAGUAUAAAAUAAGAAAAAAUUUGAAAAUUUAUAGGGUAAGAGUAUUGUGAAAGAAAUUUGAAAUAUAUGAAAAUUAAUUAAUUAAUAAGUAAAUUUAAUUUAUUGUAUCUUGUGUAUCAGAGUUUAUUAAUAAAAAUUAUUAAAUAGUAAAAUCUCGAAUUUAAAAGAGAUAAUUAAUUAAAAAUUUUAUUGUUUUAAAAAUAUUUUAAAUAAUUAAUUUGAAAUGAGAUGUUAAUCGUUUUUAAAUAUAUCUAGUUUUUUUAGAAAUAAAUUAAAUUUAUAAUUUAAUUAAAAUAAUUAAAAAUUAAUUUUUAAUUAUUUUAAUUAAAUUAAAUAUUUUAAGGGAUAAUCUUUAAAUUAAAUUUUUAUAAUUAAUUUUAUUAGUUAAUAAAAUUUUUAAAAUUUAUAUUGUUUAUAAAUUAUAUUUUUUUUUAUAAAAAAUUUUAUAAAUUAUAAAAUUUUUAAUUAAAAUUUAAUUUUUUAUAAAAAAAAAUAUUUUAAAAUAAAUAAAAAAUAGUAAUAAUGAUAAAAUUAGUAUAAAUCUUAAUAAAUUAAAAAUAAAAUAAUUUAAUAAUUAAUUAAAAGGAAUUCGGCAAAAUUUUAUAUUCACCUGUUUAACAAAAACAUGUCUUUUUGUAAAUAAUUUAAAGUCGAAUCUGCCCACUGAUUUAAUUAAAGGGCUGCAGUAAAUUGACUGUACAAAGGUAGCAUAAUCAUUAGUCUUUUAAUUGAAGACUUGUAUGAAAGAUUUGAUGAGAUAUAUACUGUCUCUUUUUUAUAUUUAGAAUUUAAUUUUUUAGUAAAAAAGCUAAAAUUUUUUUAAAAGACGAGAAGACCCUAUAGAGUUUUAUUAUUAUUAUGAUUUUAAUUUUUUAUUAAUAAUUUAAUAAAAAUUAUGGUAAUAAUUUUAUUGGGGUGAUAAAAAAAUUAAAUGAACUUUUUUUUUAAAAAUUAAACAUUAAUUUAUGAUAAAAUGAUCCAUAAUUUAUGAUUAAAAGAAAAAAUUACCUUAGGGAUAACAGCGUAAUUUUUUCUUUUAGUUCUUAUAAAAAAAAAAGUUUGCGACCUCGAUGUUGGAUUAAGAUAAAAUUUAAAUGUAGAAGUUUAAAAUUUUGAUCUGUUCGAUCAUUAAAAUCUUACAUGAUCUGAGUUCAAACCGGUGUAAGCCAGGUUGGUUUCUAUCUUUAGAUAUUUAAAUUAUUUUAGUACGAAAGGAUUAAAUAAUUAAAAUAAUUUUAUUAUAUUAGAAUAUUAUUAAUUAUAUAUGUAUAUAUAUAUAUAUAUAUAUAUAUAUAUAUA
This 1368-nucleotide ribosomal RNA is filed under the name Ampittia subvittatus. Its description in RNAcentral is "16S ribosomal RNA". Lineage: Eukaryota; Metazoa; Arthropoda; Insecta; Lepidoptera; Hesperiidae. The record is from RNAcentral.